This 75-nucleotide transfer RNA is filed under the name Methanothermobacter wolfeii. RNAcentral describes it as "tRNA-Val". It matches the Rfam family "tRNA". Rfam says of the family: Transfer RNA (tRNA) molecules are approximately 80 nucleotides in length. Their secondary structure includes four short double-helical elements and three loops (D, anti-codon, and T loops). Lineage: Archaea; Methanobacteriati; Methanobacteriota; Methanobacteria; Methanobacteriales; Methanobacteriaceae. The record is from RNAcentral.
GGGCCGGUGGUCUAGGGGUAUGAUACCUCCCUGACACGGAGGUGAUCACGAGUUCGAAUCUCGUCCGGCCCAUCA